Molecule: ribosomal RNA, 824 nt
Filed under: Pleurodonte perplexa
Lineage: Eukaryota; Metazoa; Mollusca; Gastropoda; Stylommatophora; Pleurodontidae
Description: partial 16S ribosomal RNA
Source: RNAcentral
ACACCCUCUAUUGAUCAACACGAAAGAAAGUGAGCUAAUUAAAGUAAUAGUGUUAGAUAGCUAUAUGAUGUGUGGCACUACACCAUAAAUAUUUUUAGUUAGGGGUGACAGGCCUGUCAAAUUUUCAGAUAUCUUGAUGUGAAAGAAACUUAUUUAGUACAAGACAACCUGAUAGUGAUUAGAUUAUCAGCUUUGUAUAAGGCUCAGCGGGUUAGUUGAUAUAGUGCUUAAUGGUAAAUAUUUUAAAUAUACUAUUAUUUGUUUUGAGGUGUUUAUAGGUAUUACUUCACAUAGUGUCAAAACUGCACGUUACUAGUAAGCUGUUAGUAUUAGUAUAGUUUUAAAUUCUUGGAAGGAACUCGGCAAAUAGUUUGCUCAACUGUUUAACAAAAACAUAACCAUGUGGGUUUCAUACUUGGCGUUUUCUGCUCCAUGAGUGUUUAAAUAGCCGCAGUACCCUGACUGUGCAAAGGUAGCAUAAUCAGUUGGCUUAUAAUUGAAGUCUGGCAUGAAUGAAUGAAUGGGUAGGCACUGUCUCCGACGAAAUAAUAAAAGUUAUUUAACAAGUGAAAAUACUUGUGGGUAGAUAAAAGACGAGAAGACCCUAGAAAUUUUUUAGAGUUGUGUGGAAAUGCACAUUUUAUUUUGCUGGGGCGGCAAAGUAACAUAUUGUAACUUGCUUUAAGAACUAGAAGUUUGUUUAUAGUAAGGCUAUAAUUACUCUAGGGAUAACAGCAUAAUUUUAAAGAGCUUGUGACCUCGAUGUUGGACUAGGGCCUGCAAGAUUCAGAAGAUCUUGUUGCGCGUUCUGUUCGAACGAGUAC